RNAcentral lists this ribosomal RNA (253 nucleotides) under uncultured bacterium. RNAcentral's name for it is "partial 16S ribosomal RNA". It matches the Rfam family "Bacterial small subunit ribosomal RNA", at positions 524 to 776 of the family's 1533-position model. The record is from RNAcentral.
UACGGAGGGUGCAAACGUUGCUCGGAAUCAUUGGGCGUAAAGCGCACGUAGGCGGCGCGUUAAGUCGGGUGUGAAAGCCCUGGGCUCAACCCAGGAAGUGCAUUCGAAACUGGCGCGCUUGAAUAUGGAAGAGGGUCGCGGAAUUCCCGGUGUAGAGGUGAAAUUCGUAGAUAUCGGGAGGAACACCAGUGGCGAAGGCGACUUACUGGACACAUAUUGACGCUGAGGUGCGAAAGCGUGGGGAGCAAACAGG